CCUGUCACAGUGCUGUACCAAUCCUCCUUUUGUUAUUUGUCACUAUUCCCAAAUCAUUCAUUUACUGCAAAAAUACAUGUUUUUUGUAUCGCUAGCAAGAAGUUACAUUCAGAAUUUCUUCAGAACAAAAAAAUAAUCAGUCUGUGUAGAAGAGGUCAUUCACAAGGGUAGUGAUGAUUCUUUCUGGUCUUAAACAAAUCUUUGAAACAAUUUUGGCCUUUAAUUGUGUUGGAGGAAAAUAAGAGUGAUCCUUCUUUGGUCUUUGAGAACUACUAAGUUACCCCUAACACUGCAGGGCCUGUGGCCCUGGGUGGCCACAUGUUUGAAGAUUUCUGUCACUUAGGCGUGGGGUCUCUGAUUGUUCCAUGGUACAAGGCAUCCACCAUUGUCCAACCCUCUUGCAUCUCACUUGCCAGAACAUCUCUCUGGUCUUCUGAAUCACUGAUUUUUUUUGUGACUACUGCUAUAGCUUUGUUCCAACUCUGCAGUCAGACGUUAGACUUGUGCUUUACCUGAAAAAGUUUGUACUUUUUUUUUAAGCCUGUGUUGUGUUGGGUAUGAAUAUGGAUAAAAGAUAUAAAUGUAGAAUGUUUGAUCUCUGCAAUGAUAAUAAACUCAGAUAAAAAUGGGCCUGAGGAGAGCUUCAUCUCAGCUGGGUUUAGAGCUUUUCUUACUGGCUUGACAGGCUCUCUGUGGGGGCCUGCUGCACCACAUAUCAGCAGCUGGGAGAUUAGUGGCGGGCACUGACUUAUCCCUUUCUUGUAAGGAGCAGAUGGCAGAGGGAUUCUGCUGCUUCGGCCAUAUCAUGUGUUUGUGAAUCUGUAUAACGAGAGACAAUUUCAAAUGUCUAAACACUCUUGACUGUGGUGGUGAAUGUCAGUGUAUUAUUAUCAGCAUCUUCAGUCCCUGUGGAGCGAGACAGCAGAUUUGUUGAGCAUAGUACCUGGUCAGAGUAGGUGUAACAAAUGUCCAGGUGAUCAUGAAGGCUCACGAAUGGGUGAAUUGCUGUGAUUUCUAGAUCUCACCAGGUGCUGUGUGUUCUGCUCUGAGAGAUAGCUGCACUUCAGGAUAACUGAAAUGUAGGCUACUACUAAAAGGAGAAAUCUUUUCCUUCCUUUCUUUAUUUUCUCAUAACUUCCCUUGAACCUGGAUGAACUAUGUCCUGUAUGACCGCCAAAUUUGGGCACAGAAGAGGAUCCUUCACGUGUACAUGAAACUUCUCAGUGCUUCUUGAUUCUGCUCAUCUCCUCUGUGCUUUCUUACUUCAGCCUGAGAGCCUUUAGACACCCCUAUGUGUAAUACUGUUCACAAUGGUGGCUUCUUAAGCUUUCUCUCCGGUACCCAGGAAAUGAUGGUGCUGGUGUUUGAAGUGAACAGUGUGUGGCAGCGAAUCUUACAAAGCUGUGACAUCCUUCACAGACUUCUCGUGCUUGCAGAACAACUCUGUUUUGGGUGUCUCUUCUGACAGAUUCCUCCUGAGCUCUGUGUUUGGCCUUGGCUGGAUCACUGAGCUGGAGCAGAGUCUAAGACCUAAGGAGACACAAAGUCUAUUGGGUCAGAUUGGUCCCACAUGGAGUGGCAAUAUGUGGCCCACUGCAUAGUGCCUCUCCUCUCUGACAGCAGGAAUUCCUAUUUCUCACAUGUCUGUUCAUGAAUAAUUUGGCACUUCUGUCUUUAAUGCCAUGAAAUUGAGUAUUUCCACCAGGAGGUAAUGAAGGAAACAGCUUUGUCCUUGGAUUUUGAGACUGCCUGGACACUUUCAUUCCCUUCAAGAUCAGGGCCAUAAAGAGACACUGGCUUUUCUGCUCACUAUUGAAUAUGGCAUCACUUGGUUGAAAUCAUCUGGAGAAGGUAGACUCCUGAAACCAAUGAAGAGGAUGCAGAAUAUCAUGAGACAUUUAACAUCACUUCUUCCAGAAUGUGCAAAGAAAGCUCAGUGUUAGCAAUGCAGGCUGUUGUUAAAAGUCUGUGUCAACUGAAAACAAAUUAUCAAACCUUACUGCUGGGUGAAAAAUGUUCAGCUUAUACAGUAUUACCCAUGUGAAUGUGGAAAGUGAAGAUGGUCUACAGGAUUUAAUAAAGACUUGGGUGUUUUUUUUUUGUGUUGUUUGUUCCCUCUUUCCCCCUCCCCUCAAAAUUGUGUUGUUUUUCUUUUAUGGGGAUAAUGGGAAAAGAUCUGGAACUAACCCAUCAGUGGUUCUGGAC
Molecule: long non-coding RNA, 2205 nt
Organism: Lagopus leucura (white-tailed ptarmigan)
Lineage: Eukaryota; Metazoa; Chordata; Aves; Galliformes; Phasianidae
Exons: 3
Source: RefSeq, a predicted model, not a curated record